CCGAGGGAAGAAAAGAGGAAAGAGGAAAGUAUGGGCCGCCCUUUUUUCAUACUUUCCUUUUAUCCCUUUUCUAGAAGACCUAUUUCGUCGCGGAAUUCCGGAAGACUGUCUCUUCUUUUUUUGCCACUGUUUGGAAUGCCACAUCGUGCAAGUAUGAAACGGCGAUCUUGGCUAAGGAUGUGUUAGUGGCGUUGGUGGCUAUCGCGGAUGGUGGUCCUACGUAUGGAUUGUGUCCCCCAGCGGCUGCGUUUCUUCACGCCGCCGUUAAUGGAUGUUGGCAGCACGCCAAUGCAGCUCCACCGAGGUGACACACUGUGAACUUGAAUAAGGUGCCCACUCACUCUCAAUCGGCCGCAAAGGUGAGUUUGUUUUUGAAAUGAUUGCGAACAGGAUGUUUCCGCAUCAAACCCAACAAUCCUACGGCUACAAAUUCCCCCCAACUCCGAUACGAAGAGUAUCUCACACUCUGCCUGACUUUACGUGUCGUGCUUUUCUUUUGUCAGAUGGGAUACGUGAAAACAAAUUGGUAACCUUUGUAGUUGUGUUAAACUAUAUCCAUAAUACCAAAACCACUUUCGCAAUUUUCUAACAUGCGUGCACUUGUAAUUUCUCACGUAACCAUUCAAAUUCUGAAAGUUGUGUGUUGCAAUCUGUACAAGGGAAAUAGGUUUUCGUAUUUUAACGGCUGUUUAAAUUAGAGAGGCAGCAAAACUUUCCGCAGUCACCGGAACGGUCUCAACCCACGCACCGUGGGUUGCGGUCAAGUGAUCGAAAACUGCUUUGCCAUCAAAUGUGGUGGUUGCGGCAAAUGGGGUCAUGGUAAAUACGUUGGUCUCAAACGCUCCCUCGCUCCACAAUUAGACGCACAUGGUUGGCAGUGGAACUGCAACACGUGCUUGCCGAUAGUAAAGGCGGAUAUUUUCAUGAAAGAUGGAAACCUUCAGUCUGCUGUCAACGCCGUUCUUGCCACCAACAACGCCGCUCGAUGCAAGGAAAUUAUCCAAAUGUAUAGAAGAGAUGCAGGAGGAAACACACAACACACAACAUUAAAACACGUUGGGGGAAGGACUAUGGCACGGUAUUUGGCUUACAUACUUUGGCCACAUACCGUGGCAAAAUACCGUGCCAUAGAAGGACCACCACGAAAAGCCUCAAAUUCAUUUUUCAUUUUGAUUAAAGAGAAACAUACCGGUCUUAAAUUUGAUGAAUGUUGCCUGUUUAUCUCAAAGCAUUCCCUUUCUUCGCGGCUUCUCCGGAUCAAUAAAUUUUGUGUGAUUGCCAGGGAUUAGGCUGCAUU
Molecule: long non-coding RNA, 1297 nt
Organism: Daphnia pulex (common water flea)
Lineage: Eukaryota; Metazoa; Arthropoda; Branchiopoda; Diplostraca; Daphniidae
Exons: 3
Source: RefSeq, a predicted model, not a curated record